UGUUUUCAUUAAUCAAGAACGAAAGUUAGAGGUUCGAAGGCGAUCAGAUACCGCCCUAGUUCUAACCAUAAACGAUGCCAGCCAGCGAUCCGCCUGUGUUCCUCAAAUGACACGCCGGGCAGCUUCCGGGAAACCAAAGCCUUUGGGUUCCGGGGGAAGUAUGGUUGCAAAGCUGAAACUUAAAGGAAUUGACGGAAGGGCACCACCAGGAAUGGAGCCUGCGGCUUAAUUUGACUCAACACGGGGCAGCCCACCCGGCCCGGACACAGGAAGGAUUGACAGAUUGAGAGCUCUUUCUUGAUUCUGUGGUUGGUGGUGCAUGGUCGUUCUUAGUUGGUGGAGCGAUUUGUCUGGUUAAUUCCGAUAACGAACGAGGCUCUAGCCUGCUAAAUAGACGUUCCGAUCUUCUAAGUCGGACGUUCUUCUUAGAGGGACAAGCGGCGUCUAGCCGCACGAGACAGAGCAAUAACAGGUCAGUGAUGCCCUUAGAUGUCCGGGGCCGCACGCGCGCUACAUUGAAGGAAUCAGCGUGUGCUUUCCCUGUCCGACAGGACCGGGUAACCCGUUGAACCUCCUUCGUGCUGGGGAUAGGAGCUUGUAACUGUCCUCCUUGAACGAGGAAUUCCUAGUAAGCGCGAGUCAAAAGCUCGCGUUGAUUAUGUCCCUGCCCCUUGUCCACACCGCCCGUCGCUACUUUCGAUGGAAUGAAUUAGUGAGGUCUUCGGACUGGCGCUCGAAUCGGCUUCGGGUCGAGUCGGCGUGCCGGAAAGAUGAUCAAACUUGCUCAUUUAGAGAAAGUAAA
RNAcentral lists this ribosomal RNA (802 nucleotides) under Prodidomus flavipes. RNAcentral describes it as "SSU rRNA". It matches the Rfam family "Eukaryotic small subunit ribosomal RNA", at positions 965 to 1786 of the family's 1831-position model. The record is from RNAcentral. Lineage: Eukaryota; Metazoa; Arthropoda; Arachnida; Araneae; Prodidomidae.